CAGCCGCCGCGGUAAUACGUAGGUGGCAAGCGUUGUCCGGAAUUAUUGGGCGUAAAGCGCGCGCAGGCGGUCCUUUAAGUCUGAUGUGAAAGCCCCCGGCUCAACCGGGGAGGGUCAUUGGAAACUGGGGGACUUGAGUGCAGGAGAGGGAAGUGGAAUUCCACGUGUAGCGGUGAAAUGCGUAGAGAUGUGGAGGAACACCAGUGGCGAAGGCGGCUUCCUGGCCUGUAACUGACGCUGAGGCGCGAAAGCGUGGGGAGCAAACAGGAUUAGAUACACUGGUAGUCCACGCCGUAAACGAUGAGUGCUAAGUGUUAGGGGGUUUCCGCCCCUUAGUGCUGCAGCUAACGCAUUAAGCACUCCGCCUGGGGAGUACGGCCGCAAGGCUGAAACUUAAAGGAAUUGGCGGG
RNAcentral lists this ribosomal RNA (410 nucleotides) under uncultured microorganism. Its description in RNAcentral is "bacterial SSU rRNA". It matches the Rfam family "Bacterial small subunit ribosomal RNA", at positions 509 to 917 of the family's 1533-position model. The record is from RNAcentral.